RNAcentral lists this ribosomal RNA (460 nucleotides) under uncultured bacterium. RNAcentral's name for it is "partial 16S ribosomal RNA". It matches the Rfam family "Bacterial small subunit ribosomal RNA", at positions 338 to 795 of the family's 1533-position model. The record is from RNAcentral.
CCUACGGGUGGCAGCAGUGAGGAAUAUUGGUCAAUGGGCGCGAGCCUGAACCAGCCAAGUAGCGUGAAGGAUGACUGCCCUACGGGUUGUAAACUUCUUUUAUAAAAGAAUAAAGUGAGGCACGUGUGCCUUUCUGUAUGUACUUUAUGAAUAAGGAUCGGCUAACUCCGUGCCAGCAGCCGCGGUAAUACGGAGGAUCCGAGCGUUAUCCGGAUUUAUUGGGUUUAAAGGGAGCGUAGAUGGGUUGAUAAGUCAGUUGUGAAAGUUUGCAGCUCAACCGUAAAAUUGCAAUUGAUACUGGCAGCCUUGAGAACAGAAGAGGUGGGCGGAAUGCGUGGUGUAGCGGUGAAAUGCUUAGAUAUCACGAAGAACUCCGAUUGCGAAGGCAGUUCACUAGACUGCAACUGACGCUGAGGCUCGAAAGUGUGGGUAUCAAACAGGAUUAGAUACCCCGGUAGUC